Molecule: ribosomal RNA, 274 nt
Filed under: uncultured bacterium
Lineage: Bacteria
Description: partial 16S ribosomal RNA
Rfam family: Bacterial small subunit ribosomal RNA
Source: RNAcentral
AUACGGAGGGUGCAAGCGUUAUUCGGAAUCACUGGGCGUAAAGGACGCGUAGGCGGGUUGGCAAGUCAGAUGUGAAAUCCUACAGCUUAACUGUAGAACUGCAUUUGAAACUGCUAACCUAGAGUAUGGGAGGGGGAGAUGGAAUUAGUGGUGUGGGGGUAAAAUCCGUAGAUAUCACUAGGAAUACCGAAAGCGAAGACGAUCUCCUGGAACAUAACUGACGCUAAGGCGUGAAAGCGUGGGGAGCAAACAGGAUUAGAAACCCUAGUAGUCC